GAGGAAAAGCAAAAUGCUCUGAGACACACUUUCAAGUAUACUGCUUAUAAGGAAUGGCAUGUGGAUAAAGAGAGGAAAAGACAUCACCGUGUUCUCACUUUAACUUUACAUAAUGUCUCACAACUCCCAAAACACUGCUCUGGAGUGAAGUGUUUUAACCUGCCUUUUGUUAUGAAUUACUUGGCUGGGUAACAGACAGGCAGCCUGGGAUCAUUUCUUUUUGUAUGUCUUUUUCUUUUUCUUUGUUUUUUUUUUAAGCCAUCAACAUCUUUCAGUGCUAUUUGGAAUGCUGAGAGAAUGCUUUGUUCCAUUCCCAUUUAUCAAUCGAAUACUUCAUGAAGUUUAAUUAAAAUUAAGUCAAAAAUAUUCUCUGUAUUUGUAUAAACCUUAAAUUUGUUAACCUGUUAUUGGAUUUUCAAAAAUACCUGUUUAGAAAACUG
This 440-nucleotide long non-coding RNA is filed under the name Homo sapiens (human). Its description in RNAcentral is "HSALNT0159693". Lineage: Eukaryota; Metazoa; Chordata; Mammalia; Primates; Hominidae. The record is from RNAcentral.